Molecule: ribosomal RNA, 253 nt
Filed under: uncultured bacterium
Lineage: Bacteria
Description: partial 16S ribosomal RNA
Rfam family: Bacterial small subunit ribosomal RNA
Source: RNAcentral
UACAGGGGGUGCAAACGUUGCUCGGAAUCAUUGGGCGUAAAGCGCACGUAGGAGGUCUGUUAUGUCGGAUGUGAAAGCCCUUGGCUCAACUGGGGAAGUGCAUCCGAAACUGGCAGGCUAGAGUACGAAAGAGGAUCGCGGAAUUCCCGGUGUAGAGGUGAAAUUCGUAGAUAUCGGGAGGAACACCGGUGGCGAAGGCGGCGAUCUGGGUCGAUACUGACGCUGAGGUGCGAAAGCGUGGGGAGCAAACAGG